RNAcentral lists this long non-coding RNA (252 nucleotides) under Manihot esculenta (cassava). Its description in RNAcentral is "long non-coding RNA (MESC_LNC002409)". Lineage: Eukaryota; Viridiplantae; Streptophyta; Magnoliopsida; Malpighiales; Euphorbiaceae. The record is from RNAcentral.
AUGUUAUGACAUGAUGAUAUGAUGUGGAAGUCCAGAUGUGGCCUGCACUACGCGCCUGGCACUAUGUAAGUGAAAGACCGGACGUGGCCUGCACUACGCCCCCGGCAUCAUGGAUUAUGUAUGUUAUGUUAUGUUAUGUAUAAGGGAAAGACCAGGUGUGGCCUGCACUACGCCCCUGGCAUGGUUGGAAUAUGUAGAGGGCUAAAUGGUGACAAGUUCAUCCUUGAUAUGAUUAAUUGUGAUGUGAUGCAU